RNAcentral lists this ribosomal RNA (391 nucleotides) under uncultured bacterium. RNAcentral describes it as "bacterial SSU rRNA". It matches the Rfam family "Bacterial small subunit ribosomal RNA", at positions 30 to 421 of the family's 1533-position model. The record is from RNAcentral.
AUUGAACGCUGGCGGCAUGCCUUACACAUGCAAGUCGAACGGCAGCACGGGAGCAAUCCUGGUGGCGAGUGGCGAACGGGUGAGUAAUAUAUCGGAACGUGCCCAGUCGUGGGGAUAACGUAGCGAAAGCUACGCUAAUACCGCAUACGAUCUAUGGAUGAAANCGGGGGAUCGCAAGACCUCGCGCGAUUGGAGCGGCCGAUAUCAGAUUAGGUAGUUGGUGAGGUAAAGGCUCACCAAGCCGACGAUCUGUAGCUGGUCUGAGAGGACGACCAGCCACACUGGGACUGAGACACGGCCCAGACUCCUACGGGAGGCAGCAGUGGGGAAUAAUUGGACAAUGGCGAAAGCCUGAUCCAGCCAUGCCGCGUGUGUGAAGAAAGGUCUUCGG